RNAcentral lists this ribosomal RNA (509 nucleotides) under uncultured bacterium. RNAcentral's name for it is "partial 16S ribosomal RNA". The record is from RNAcentral.
GGAGUUAGCCGGUGCUUCUUCUGUGAGUGAUGUCCUUCCUGCCGGUUAUUGACCCGCAGGCCUUCUUCCUCACUGAAAGUGCUUUACAACCCGAAGGCCUUCUUCACACACGCGGCAUGGCUGGAUCAGGGUUGCCCCCAUUGUCCAAUAUUCCCCACUGCUGCCUCCCGUAGGAGUCUGGGCCGUGUCUCAGUCCCAGUGUGGCUGAUCAUCCUCUCAGACCAGCUACGGAUCGUCGCCUUGGUGAGCCGUUACCUCACCAACCAGCUAAUCCGACAUAGGCUCAUCCGAUAGCGCGAGGCCCGAAGGUCCCCCGCUUUCCCCCGUAGGGCCGUAUGCGGUAUUAGCCUGGGUUUCCCCAGGUUAUCCCCCACUACCGGGCAGAUUCCUAUGCAUUACUCACCCGUCCGCCGCUCGCCACCAGGGAGCAAGCUCCCCGUGCUGCCGCUCGACUUGCAUGUGUUAGGCCUGCCGCCUAGCGUUCAAUCUGAGCCAUGAUCAAACUCUGA